This 305-nucleotide ribosomal RNA is filed under the name uncultured bacterium. RNAcentral describes it as "bacterial SSU rRNA". It matches the Rfam family "Bacterial small subunit ribosomal RNA", at positions 338 to 660 of the family's 1533-position model. The record is from RNAcentral.
CCUACGGGGGGCAGCAGUGGGGGAUAUUGCACAAUGGGGGAAACCCUGAUGCAGCGACGCCGCGUGGGUGAAGAAGCGCCUCGGCGCGUAAAGCCCUGUCAGCAGGGAAGAAAAUGACGGUACCUGAAGAAGAAGCCCCGGCUAACCACGUGCCAGCAGCCGCGGUAAUACGUAGGGGGCAAGCGUUAUCCGGAUUUACUGGGUGUAAAGGGGGCGCAGACGGCGAUGCAAGCCAGGAGUGAAAGCCCGGUGCCCAACCCCGGGACUGCUCUUGGAACUGCGUGGCUAGAGUGCAGGAAGGGCAG